UACGUAGGUGGCAAGCGUUGUCCGGAAUUAUUGGGCGUAAAGCGCGCGCAGGCGGUCCUUUAAGUCUGAUGUGAAAGCCCACGGCUCAACCGUGGAGGGUCAUUGGAAACUGGGGGACUUGAGUACAGAAGAGAAGAGUGGAAUUCCACGUGUAGCGGUGAAAUGCGUAGAUAUCUGGAGGAACACCGGUGGCGAAGGCGGCGUUCUGGACUGUUUCUGACACUGAAAAACGAAAGCCAGGGGAGCAAACGGG
This 253-nucleotide ribosomal RNA is filed under the name uncultured bacterium. RNAcentral describes it as "partial 16S ribosomal RNA". It matches the Rfam family "Bacterial small subunit ribosomal RNA", at positions 524 to 776 of the family's 1533-position model. The record is from RNAcentral.